UGGGGAAUAUUGGACAAUGGGCGCAAGCCUGAUCCAGCCAUGCCGCGUGUGUGAAGAAGGCCUUUUGGUUGUAAAGCACUUUAAGCGAGGAGGAGGCUACUUGGAUUAAUACUCUAAGAUAGUGGACGUUACUCGCAGAAUAAGCACCGUCUAACUCUGUGCCAGCAGCCGCGGUAAUACAGAGGGUGCGAGCGUUAAUCGGAUUUACUGGGCGUAAAGCGUGCGUAGGCGGCUUCUUAAGUCGGAUGUGAAAUCCCUGAGCUUAACUUAGGAAUUGCAUUCGAUACUGGGAAGCUAGAGUAUGGGAGAGGAUGGUAGAAUUCCAGGUGUAACGGUGAAAUGCGUAGAGAUCUGGAGGAAUACCGAUGGCGAAGGCAGCCAUCUGGCCUAAUACUGACGCUGAGGUACGAAAGCAUGGGGAGCAAACAGG
Molecule: ribosomal RNA, 430 nt
Filed under: Bacillota bacterium
Lineage: Bacteria; Bacillati; Bacillota
Description: Firmicutes bacterium partial 16S ribosomal RNA
Rfam family: Bacterial small subunit ribosomal RNA
Source: RNAcentral